Molecule: non-coding RNA, 514 nt
Organism: Phyllostomus hastatus (greater spear-nosed bat)
Lineage: Eukaryota; Metazoa; Chordata; Mammalia; Chiroptera; Phyllostomidae
Source: the annotation of a RefSeq genome assembly
GGUGGAGACAUUACAGAAACCAACGGGAGCCCCCUGAGCUGGCAGAUACCUGUGCAACGCGGGAAUGGGGCCCCGGCUCCUGCGCUGUGUCGUGCUUUGUCUCCUGGGAGCAGGCCCCCUGGAAGCCGAAGUGACCCAGAUGCCGAGACACCUCAUCACAGAGACCAAAAAGAAGUUGACAGUGACUUGUUCUCAGAAUAUGGACCAUGAGGCUAUGUACUGGUAUCGACAAGACCCUGGACUGGGGCUCAGGCUGAUCUAUUAUUCCAUUAAUGUGGGCCAUAUUGAAAAGGGAGAUGUCCCUGAUGGGUACAAGGUGUCUCGAACAGAGAAGACAAAUUUCCCACUGACCCUGGAGUCACCCAGCAUCAGCCAGACCUCUCUGUACCUUUGUGCCAGCAGUAUAUCCACAGCAUGUCACAGCCCAGGGUCCUCCCCACAAAAAGGGCAGCCACAGAGCAAGGAGGCCCCUCCCUCCAGAUGCCCCGCCUUCCCCCACCAUCUGUGCCCAUAG